AUGGGGUGGCUUUCCUGCUGCAAGCGGUCGAACGGGGCCCAACCCGGCAGGAAGAAGAAGAAGAAGGACACGACAUGGCGCAUCUUCUCACUGAAAGAGCUUCAGUUGGCGACCAACAAUUUUAACUAUGAUAACAAGCUUGGUGAAGGUGGAUUCGGCAGUGUCUACUGGGGCCAGCUCUGGGACGGAUCACAGAUUGCGGUGAAAAGGCUCAAGAGUUGGAGCAACAAGGCUGAAAAGGAGUUUGCUGUCGAGGUCGAGGUUUUGGCACGAGUGCGGCAUAAGAGCCUCUUGAGCUUGCGUGGAUAUUGCGCUGAAGGCCAGGAGCGCCUGAUAGUCUACGACUAUAUGCAGAACCUGAGCUUGCACUCUCACCUGCACGGACAGCAUGCAGCUGAAUGCCAUCUUGGUUGGGAGCGAAGAAUGAACAUCGCCAUUGAUUCGGCUGAGGGCAUCGCUUAUCUUCAUCACCAUGCGAUCCCACAUAUCAUCCAUAGAGACGUCAAGGCGAGCAACGUUCUCCUGGACGCGAAUUUCCAAGCACGUGUCGCUGAUUUCGGGUUUGCGAAACUCAUACCAGACGGUGCGACCCAUGUCACCACAAAGGUGAAAGGCACACUCGGUUACCUAGCGCCGGAGUAUGCCAUGCUUGGCAAGGCCAAAGAGAGCUGCGACGUCUACAGCUUCGGAGUGCUGCUGCUAGAGCUUGCCAGCGGAAAGAAGCCGGUUGAGAAGAUAAACCCUACGACAAAGCUCACCAUCACUGAGUGGGCGCUUCCACUCGCUCGCGAGCAGAAGUUCAAGGAGAUGGCUGACCCAAAGCUGGGGGAUAGCUUUGUCGAGGCCGAGGUGAAGCGGAUGGUGCUCGUCGGGCUUGCUUGCACUCAGACCAAGCCAGAACAGAGGCCGGUGAUGUCUGAAGUUGUGGAGAUGCUCAAGGGGGAAUCUGCCGAGAAGUUCUUUAUCUUGGAGAAUGACGAUCUGUUCAAGCCUCAACCCACCAGCUCUGUCCAGGGCACCUCUGGCCCCUGCAGCUCAGACGCCAUCACCGAAGAGAAGGAAUCGAAAGAGGAUACGAUCGAGGAGGCGACUGAUUCGAGCGAGACGGUGCCCUCAGCUAGGUAG
RNAcentral lists this ribosomal RNA (1125 nucleotides) under Triticum aestivum (bread wheat). RNAcentral's name for it is "partial small subunit ribosomal RNA". The record is from RNAcentral. Lineage: Eukaryota; Viridiplantae; Streptophyta; Magnoliopsida; Poales; Poaceae.